GCCAGCCUCGUAUUAAUUAAGUUUAUGUGUACUUUGCCUUUGACAACGUUUAACUUGUUCUUUGUUCUUCUUAGUGAACUGAAGCAGCGACUACCUGGAGGUUACCCAGGCUGGCCUCGUUUCGCUCUAGCCUCGCUCCUAGGAUCUCCCCAGGAAGGAUCUUCCACACACACCUACCCGACGCCGAACUCUGGAACUUCCCCGGCUGGCUGCUUCUGGACCCGGAUUCUCCAGAGACCAUUCAACCUAACCUGUCCACCCUCCACCUCUUUGCUGACGCUUUGCCUGCACUCCAAGCUCUAACCCAAGUAACUAAGAAAUCAUCGGACUUACUAUUGACUCCAUAUUCACUUCUUCUCCAGUCCGAAUCCCUCUCCUCCUGGCGGAUUGCCUACUCCCUCCUAUUGUUCCUGCACACCAUACCGAUCCAUUCUCCUUAAAUAAACCUUUUUCAAACUUGUA
This is a long non-coding RNA of Girardinichthys multiradiatus, 462 nucleotides long. RefSeq lists it as uncharacterized. The record is from RefSeq and is a predicted model, not a curated record. NCBI's taxonomy places the organism in Eukaryota, Metazoa, Chordata, Actinopteri, Cyprinodontiformes, Goodeidae. The transcript has 2 exons.